AGUGAACGCUGGCGGUAGGCCUAACACAUGCAAGUCGAACGGCAGCACAGUAAGAGCUUGCUCUUACGGGUGGCGAGUGGCGGACGGGUGAGGAAUACAUCGGAAUCUACUUUUUCGUGGGGGAUAACGUAGGGAAACUUACGCUAAUACCGCAUACGACCUACGGGUGAAAGCAGGGGAUCUUCGCACCUUGCGCGAUUGAAUGAGCCGAUGUCGGAUUAGCUAGUUGGCGGGGUAAAGUCCCACCAAGGCGACGACCCGUAGCUGGUCUGAGAGGAUGAGCGGCCACACUGGAACUGAGACACGGUCCAGACUCCUACGGGAGGCAGCAGUGGGGAAUAUUGGACAAUGGGCGCAAGCCUGAUCCAGCCAUACCGCGUGGGUGAAGAAGGCCUUCGGGUUGUAAAGCCCUUUUGUUGGGAAAGAAAAGCAGCAGGUUAAUACCCCGCUGUUCUGACGGUACCCAAAGAAUAAGCACCGGCUAACUUCGUG
RNAcentral lists this ribosomal RNA (492 nucleotides) under uncultured bacterium. RNAcentral's name for it is "partial 16S ribosomal RNA". It matches the Rfam family "Bacterial small subunit ribosomal RNA", at positions 29 to 507 of the family's 1533-position model. The record is from RNAcentral.